GGAAGGGAAACGCUUCCGGUGGGGCGGCUGGACUUCAAAUCCAGUAAGGGCCGUUGGACGGUUCUUCGUGGGUUCGACUCCCACUCUCUUCCGCCA
Molecule: transfer RNA, 96 nt
Filed under: Reyranella sp. CPCC 100927
Lineage: Bacteria; Pseudomonadati; Pseudomonadota; Alphaproteobacteria; Hyphomicrobiales; Reyranellaceae
Description: tRNA-Sec
Rfam family: Selenocysteine transfer RNA
Source: RNAcentral